AUUUAUUUAUUAUUAUUAUUAUUAUUAUUAUUAUUAUUAUUAUUAUUAUUAUUCUCUUCUUUGUUUUUGUUGUUCUUCACAUGAUCCCAUGAUUCCCAUCACAUCACAUCACGUACCAUGCUCUCUUUUGUUUUGAUUGCUCUUUUAGUCUUUUCAGUUACUAACUAGAUGAACUUCUUAAUCUCCUAACUUAUAAAGUUUUACUAGUAGUAUAUAUUUGUAUUUAAUGUUUCUACCAAUCUAACUAAUAAAUGUUUUAUUUAAAGUAAAUCUAAUAAAUUAGUCACGAAUGGAACAAUAUAAUUGUUUUGUAUCUUGAAAUGAUAAAAUGAGAAGCGGAGGAAAUUAAAAGGAAAAAAAAAAAAAAAAGCAAAACAAAACAGAAAGAAAGCAUAAUAUUAAGUGGAAUACAACUUAGAAAAGAAUAUAAGAAUGCUGAAUUCAUGGCUAGGGAAGUCCUUCGAAAUUGAAUAGAAGAAAAAAAUGGUUAAUAUAAGAUCAUGAGUACUUAUUCCUUAUUUGACAAGAAAGGGACUAUAGCGGUUCUCAUGAAGGCAAGCAUAUACUAUUCCACACACUUUCCAAUUUCCUCAUAUUUGCAUAUUCUUUAAACGCGUUUAAUAAUAUAAUAAUAUAACUUAAAUGUGCAUCGAUUAAAUUUGAAGGAUGCCAAUUACAGAAUUACUACUCUGCAAUGGUGUGUCUUGGAGCUGUGUUUGGGUGCAAGCGCUCCAACUCAAUUGUAGGGUAUCUUUUAUCAGCCUUGGUUUCCAUAUCAAUUCUUUGUGUUUUGCGUUUGCUAUGUUAUGGCCUUUACCGCUUUCUAAAGAGGAGAGAAACAAAUACUCAUCAUCAUGAUGCUGCACAGAACACAAGGCUUGGCCAAAUAGAAUAGUGUAGUGUGUUGUAUGUGUUUGCAUUAUGAUUCAAUCUAUUUCACUUUCAUUUUUAUGUUUGUAUUAUUGUGAAAACUCAAGUGCAGUCAAUUUCACGUAAAAUUGAUAUCUAAGAGCCGUUAGAUGAUUUGACUGAUUUGACAAAAUUUUCAUCUAACAGCUCUCAAGUAUCAACUUCACGUGAAAUUGACUGCACCUGAGUUUUCACCUU
Non-coding RNA from Arachis ipaensis, 1107 nucleotides. NCBI's taxonomy places the organism in Eukaryota, Viridiplantae, Streptophyta, Magnoliopsida, Fabales, Fabaceae. The record is from RefSeq and is a predicted model, not a curated record.